UGUUUUGGCGCUAUCCUGACUCUACAGUAUGUCUGCUUCAUGUCUUCCAAUCUUCGCGUUUCAUUUCCAAGUUGUAGCUCCGCAAGAGCAUUCUCUCCGACUAUGAACACCGCUUUCGAAGCCAAACAAACUUGAAUUGUUGAGAGAUUUCUAGAUUAACAAGACAAACAAAGGCAAAGAGCUUUUAUGUUUUCUCCUUUAGAAACCUGCAUUGGCUCCAGAGUGAACAUCUCGAAGCCUUCAUGUUCUAGAGGUUAUAUCUGCAAAUGAUGGAAUUUGUCUCUACUCAAGACACCUAUAAGCUAGAGGUACUUUUUAAAGGUUGAGAUUCUUCCUUUUCCAUCCCUCUCCACCUCUCUCUCUCUCUCUCUCUCUCUCUCUCUCUCUCUCUCUCUUUUGAAUGUAUCUUCAACCUGUACUAGACCUCUUAGGGUUCAUCUAGAUCCAGAUUUAUAAAUGCCUCCUUUCUCUUACCAGUAAAAAAAAUAUGAGGAGAAAAUAGAGAAAAUUAGAAGAAGUUGGUUAAGGAAGAUAUAAAACUGAAGAAAAAAAUCUGUCGCAUUUUUCAAUAUUCUAAUUUUGCUAAGAUGAUGAUCUUACAGUACAGUGUCUCAUUGACUGUUAGUUCUUUGUGGUCAUUGGUUAGGGUUAUGAACCAUUAGGUAACAACCAUGGCGUCAAACAAAAUUAGUAGGGGUGGGGUUGGGGAGAAAGGAGAUAUGGUUUUUAUAUAACAUUUUAUGUAUCAUAAUCCUUUAAUACCUUCACAAGCAUGGGAAUUUAUGGUCUGCAAAAGCACGAAUCUUUAUACAAGUUAGGAAAUAGAUUAUAAAUGUGGGUGAUAUAACUUACUGUUAGAUCUUCCUUUGCUGCAGUGGAGACUCUCCAAAUAUACCACUUUAAUUGUUGCUUGAUUUUCCGUUGGAUUUUGGCAAAUACGUACUGACCCAGGGAUGAAUUUUUCAGCACAGCCUACAGAUGCAGAGAAACUUCGGCUGAAUAUGAUUGAGUUACUGCUGUGGUUUAGAUGAAAGGUUGGUACCUAGGUCUGGCGGUGGGAUAUGGAGGACUGAGAGAGAUGAUAAAUUCACAUUUUGAAUAGCAUUUAAAAUAAAAUGGUUUGAUAUCAUGGCAACUGUUGCAAAAGCAGAAAUGAUUACAAAAGAGUUCGGCCACGUUUUUAUGACUAAGAAUACAGGUGAAGUUAAUUAUGAUGGCUGACCAAUUUUGGAAUACUUGCACCUGUUUGCAGUGCAAUAAGCUGCAAAUCGAGCGUUACAUGCAAAUACUGACAAUGGAGCCAGGGUAAGCGUUGAAAAUAAGAGGAUGCAUUCUAGAAGUGUUGCUGAAGCAGUAAGUGAUGAUGAACAAUUUAGCCCUUGUGAUAUUUAAUUUUAUAACUUGAGUAAUCUAAUGAAGAUAUAAUUACCAUAUAUAGUCAGACAUUUAAUUAAAAAGGUUUAUAUAUUUGCUGUUGUGAAUAACAAGAAAAUGUGAAUACAAUUACUAAUACAGUUUUCUAAGGGAAUUUAUAGAACAAGCACACUUGAGCCAUACGUUGCAUCUAAAACUGCAGGACAUUUGAUGUGAGAAGUGGAAACAAGCAGGUCCAAUUACACAUUUGUUUUUGAAAUAUUUGGCCAUUUGUAUAAAUUUCUUUUAUGUCAUGCAUUUAGUGUGGAAAUUUCAACUGUAGCAUUUCUUUUCCUCUUGGAGCUCUCAUUAAUUGUAAAAGUAUUAAUUCAGUUCUCUAUGUUUCUUGCAUUAUAGUUGAUGCAGAUACUGAAGGCCAAGGCUUGAAGCACAAUCCCUGAGCAUUGCAGAUUUACUAUAAAUUAUGAUUUAUACAUCUUUAGUUCUUUCAAAUUCUAGAGAGGAAGAACUAUGAAUUUGCUAUUUUCUUUCAAUUGUUAGACAGCCGCCAAUUCAGCAUGCCAAUUCCAGUUGUAACAUGUGAUGUGAUUUGUACCCUGGAAACCCAAUAGGACAGGACUACUGCAUUCCUCAAAAUUGUCUAAGAAAUAACUAAUGGGGCUUAGAAUAUUUUGGUCACUUAUUAAUAUUUUUGUUGAAUAAAUUUUCAUCUGUUAAUGCCUGCCUCGAUCUUCAACCUUUAUUUAUUUAUUUAUUUUAUCUUUCAGGAAGAUUUCAUGGCAAAACAGGAGUUUGGAAUUGGCUCUAAUGGGGUAUUGACAAAUUGCGAUAUUCCAGGUAUGGUGGUGAAAGAUUUUAACUAGCAUGGCAGGUUUUUGUUUUAGAUGGUGGAAUUUGAUAUAUAUUUAUUUCUGACGGUAACAAAGUGGCUUGAUGGUAUACUGCAUAUCCAGGUAGUUAUAUAUUUUAAGCAUCCUAUAGUGUCUUUACACAUCAUAAAGAAAGCUGAUGCGAAAUGAUUAUGUAAUGAAGACAUUAGAUUUUCUUUUUCCUACAAGUAUUGAAUGAGCUACACAAUGGCGUAGCUCUCCCCCUUCCACUAACUUCUCUUUGUCCUAAUGAGAUUUGAAUAUGAGAGAUGCCUAUUGAGAUUCAAGUCUUUGUUAGUGGGAUCCUCGCACGAUUCACAUUUAUUAAACACCUUAGAACAUGCACAAUCUGAUUUCAGAAGAAAAUGCUAUUUGGUGUAUCUAAUUAUAUUUAUGCUGUCCACUUGUUGCUUUUCCUUUAGACUGGAUAUUUGUUUGGAAUACAGCGGAUUUGGCAAAUAGGUUUGGCAACAAAGGUUGUCUGUCCUCAAACUGUUGAUGUAAGGUCAUUCCCCUUGUUGAUUUUUCUCAAGAGGAAGAGGGAAUUCUUCAGCUUGCAAAGUCCUGCUAUACGUGAAUCAGGUAUUCCAGCUUCUUAUGAACUCGUAUGGAACCAACUGUGGAUGAAGUACUUCAUUUUAAUUUAUAAACUACGAUUUUGUUAUAUGGUGGUUCACAUGAUUGAGUUGAAUAGACAGUUUCAGAUAUUAUGCAGACCAGUUAGUGAGGUUAAGUGCUUAUUGCUCUGAGAAGGAAAAUGGUGGAGGAGUCAAUGUUGUAAUGAAAUCCCAAAAAGUUAUUAGUUACGAUGAUUACCAUAACUACAGUAUAAAAAUUUGCUUUGCAUACUGAGUGUGGCACACUCCUAGCAUUUACCAUUACAGGAUGGAAAGUUAAUCAGUUUACAGAACCGCACAUUCAUAUCAUUUGUACAGGGGUAGUCUAAAAUGCUCCAACAUGCUUUUAACGAAGACAUACAUGAAGGGUGGAACACUUGUCUCACUGGUGCACAUUUCAGGUACACGUCAGACACAUCAAACCUAGCUUGUUGAGAAAUGUAAAAGUAAAAUAAAAGUUGACAGAUUUCCAAUAUGCAUGUUUAAUGCUGCAUAUCUUAUACGCCCAUGCUAGACUUUUAUUAUGGGAUCACUUUUUUUGUAAAUUUCAAAAGCUCGCUGUAUAACUAAUACUAUUUUGGUGCAUUAAAACAGCGGAUAUUGGCUCCUAUUA
Molecule: long non-coding RNA, 3473 nt
Organism: Ricinus communis (castor bean)
Lineage: Eukaryota; Viridiplantae; Streptophyta; Magnoliopsida; Malpighiales; Euphorbiaceae
Exons: 2
Source: RefSeq, a predicted model, not a curated record